AUUGAACGCUGGCGGCAUGCUUUACACAUGCAAGUCGAACGGCAGCGCGGGCUUCGGCCUGGCGGCGAGUGGCGAACGGGUGAGUAAUACAUCGGAACGUGCCCAGUAGUGGGGGAUAGCUCGGCGAAAGCCGGAUUAAUACCGCAUACGACCUGAGGGUGAAAGCGGGGGAUCUUCGGACCUCGCGCUAUUGGAGCGGCCGAUGGCAGAUUAGCUAGUUGGUGGGGUAAAGGCCUACCAAGGCGACGAUCUGUAGCUGGUCUGAGAGGACGACCAGCCACACUGGGACUGAGACACGGCCCAGACUCCUACGGGAGGCAGCAGUGGGGAAUUUUGGACAAUGGGCGAAAGCCUGAUCCAGCAAUGCCGCGUGUGUGAUGAAGGCCUUCGGGUUGUAAAGCACUUUUGGCGGGAACGAAAAGGAAUGUGCCAAUACCACGGUUCGAUGACGGUACCCGCAGAAUAAGCACCGGCUAACUACGUG
Molecule: ribosomal RNA, 484 nt
Filed under: uncultured bacterium
Lineage: Bacteria
Description: partial 16S ribosomal RNA
Rfam family: Bacterial small subunit ribosomal RNA
Source: RNAcentral